UAGAAAAUAUUUUCUGCUUUCCCCUUUACUCGGUAGGUGGAUUUCCGUCAGACACAAUAACGAACAGGACCUUUGGAAAAACCUGUGGACGUGUCAAAGGGAGCAAUCAGGGAGGUGAAUCAGGUGGCUGAUUGCUGUUGGCAGGAAAGAUCUUUUGUAGCAGUCUGUAUUUUAUCAAAUUUGAAGAAGCCUCUGACUGAUGAUGCUAAUGUUUUUUCAAGACGGUCUCAUGAAGAGGAUGGUCAGAGUUGCCCAUAAUUUUCUUAAUUUUAUGAAGAAUCCUCCAUCAUUUCUGUCUUCUCUCUCCUGAUUGGCCCAGUGUUGUUGUUGUUGUCUUGUCUCAGUCAUGCUGGACAUACUGGACACACAUUCCUUAAUCUCUGCCUAAAUAAAAGAUGAUUGAAAGAGACUUUCUGAUCAAGUCAGCAUCAUGUCCCCACCUUUCCCACAAUCUGCUACAACCAGUAGAUCAGCAGGUGGAGCAGGUCUCCUUUAAUUGUUGGUCGGAGAAACAAAAUAAAGAGAAAAGACAACAAAGUUUCAAAAAAGGGAAUAUACACAGUAAAAAUGUCAGUGUUAAAAUCUUAGGUGUAGCGUUAAAUAAAAAGUGUGAGUGUUGUUUUAACAUCACACAGCUUUAAAAUAACACUACCAGUGUAGCCUCCGUCAGAUCUGCGUUGUGAAAUUGAAGGUGUUAAUUGGUUGGCGUUGCUUAAGCCACGCCUUCAAACACGGGUGAUAUUUACAGAUUCUGGAAAGCAUUAUUUAUUUAUCUUCAGGAUACAAAAUUUAAAAAAAUAAAAUUUAAUAGAUGUAAAGUAGUGUUGCUACUCGUGUACAGUAGGUGGCGGCAGUAGGCAACUCAAAGCUGCUUGCGACCCGCCAUAAUAGAAAAGAAGAAGAAGAAGCCGCGCCUUCGCCUAACGGUCGUUAACGGCUUUCUUUUCGCACACGAAAGACACAAUUGUUUCCUAAAGGUAAGCUGAAUGUGCAGACAUGACUUUUAUUUCGUUAUGAAUUGUGUUUUUUAGUUUGUAACUUCAACAAGCGCGCUAUAUUUAACCCAUUUUGCAUGGAAAAUUCACCAAACCCAAAGUCCCGCCUUUUUGCCAAAUCUAGGCGAACGGGUAAAAUUUAAAUCCUGUUAUAUUUCUAGUUGUCAUUUUACACCAUGAUUAAUAUUUGUAUAGCUGUAUGACUUGAAAUAUUGGCGACGUGUGCAUCUAAAAAGCCAACUUUGCAAACUGCAAAUUGUUAAGCCUCCGGGAGGAUGUGGGGAUUUUUUAAAAUUCCCUCGCAAAGUUGUUACGUCGUGGAAGCAGUGCAUUUUCCGUAGGACUACCCUCAAAAUAAAAAAGAUUUUGUUUUUAAUCCAACAUAAAUGCCGAAUGUUUUCAGAUAUUUUAUAGGAUUUAUGGUUUCAUUGUGACUGAUCUGGUUCGUCUCGUCAACGUUGCAAUAAAGUGUUGCUAGGUAAGGCUAAACUUUUGUAGUAAACAGCUAACUCCGUUUUUAUACAAAAAUUGUAUACAAACAAAUGAGGAAUUGCCUAAUAAUGUUGUAAAACUCUGUUGUUUGCAAUAUUUUAAAAUCAGUUUAAGAAAUGUAAAGUAUAUAUUGUCAUUCUAAAUUGUAAAAACCAUUUGUUAUGAAUAUUUGAGCAUUUCACAGCAAAAGAAAUUACAAGUUUUUCCAAAUCGGAUUUUGUUUUUCUGUGACUCAAGGUCCAAAAUGCAGCCACAGUAUGUCCAAAAGAAAAAAAACAACAAGUGGAAUCAUUUGCAUAUUGAGAUUCUACAGAGGCUGAUAAUCUCCCCACUCUAAAGGUUUGAGUUUUAUGUCAAAUCCACAUGAAUUAAAUGACAGAAACU
Long non-coding RNA from Xiphophorus hellerii (green swordtail), 1871 nucleotides. RefSeq lists it as uncharacterized. The record is from RefSeq and is a predicted model, not a curated record. NCBI's taxonomy places the organism in Eukaryota, Metazoa, Chordata, Actinopteri, Cyprinodontiformes, Poeciliidae. The transcript has 2 exons.